GACGAACGCUGGCGGCGUGCUUAACACAUGCAAGUCGAACGGAAAGGCCCUGCUUUUGUGGGGUGCUCGAGUGGCGAACGGGUGAGUAACACGUGAGUAACCUGCCCUUGACUUUGGGAUAACUUCAGGAAACUGGGGCUAAUACCGGAUAGGAGCUCCUGCUGCAUGGUGGGGGUUGGAAAGUUUCGGCGGUUGGGGAUGGACUCGCGGCUUAUCAGCUUGUUGGUGGGGUAGUGGCUUACCAAGGCUUUGACGGGUAGCCGGCCUGAGAGGGUGACCGGCCACAUUGGGACUGAGAUACGGCCCAGACUCCUACGGGAGGCAGCAGUGGGAAAUAUUGCACAAUGGGCAGAAGCCUGAUGCAGCAACGCCGCGUGCGGGAUGACGGCCUUCGGGUUGUAAACCGCUUUCGCCUGUGACGAAGCGUGAGUGACGGUAAUGGGUAAAGAAGCACCGGCUAACUACGUG
This 468-nucleotide ribosomal RNA is filed under the name uncultured bacterium. Its description in RNAcentral is "partial 16S ribosomal RNA". It matches the Rfam family "Bacterial small subunit ribosomal RNA", at positions 28 to 507 of the family's 1533-position model. The record is from RNAcentral.